RNAcentral lists this ribosomal RNA (288 nucleotides) under uncultured bacterium. RNAcentral describes it as "partial 16S ribosomal RNA". It matches the Rfam family "Bacterial small subunit ribosomal RNA", at positions 68 to 325 of the family's 1533-position model. The record is from RNAcentral.
CGGCCGCGUCGACGACGACUUGUAAGCUUAGUGGCGAACGGGUGAGUAACACGUGAGCAACCUGCCCCACGAGUGGGGACGGAACAAGUUGGUAAACGGAACUGCUAAUAACCGCCAUAAGACCCACCGGUACCGGCCAUGGUACGAGAGGGGAAAAGGGAAGCAAUUAGUCUCCACUACAAGAUGGACCGUGCGUUGUAUUAGCUAGUAGGUGAGGUAAUGGCGUCACCUAGGCGACGAUACAUAGCCGACCUGAGAGGGUGGAUCGGCCGACACUGGGACUGAGAC